UGGGGUAUGGCCAAGCGGUAAGGCACCGGUUUUUGAUACCGGCAUUCCCUGGUUCGAAUCCAGGUACCCCAGCCA
RNAcentral lists this transfer RNA (75 nucleotides) under Escherichia coli. RNAcentral describes it as "tRNA-Gln". It matches the Rfam family "tRNA". Rfam says of the family: Transfer RNA (tRNA) molecules are approximately 80 nucleotides in length. The record is from RNAcentral. RNAcentral also lists the same sequence under 5 other names. Lineage: Bacteria; Pseudomonadati; Pseudomonadota; Gammaproteobacteria; Enterobacterales; Enterobacteriaceae.